CCACGCCUUCGACGUGGCGUUUUCUUCGGUUUUACUUCCGGUGGGAGAACCCCAAACUGCCGGCGACUGGGAAUUUGCGGUAUCACAGGGAGAUUUCUAAGAAACCAUUUCUGAAAAGAAAGCAUUUUGGUAUGCAAGUGCAGACAUUUGGCCGGGCGCCAUGGCUCAGGCUUGUAAUCCCAGCACUUUGCCAGGCCAAGGCGGAUGGAUCACGAGGUCAAGAUAUGGAGACCAUCCUGGCCAGCAUGGUGAAACCCUCUCUACUAAAAAUACAAAAAUUAGCCGGGUGUGGUGGCACGUGCCUGUAAUCCCAGCUACUCGGGAGGCUGAGGCAGGAGAAUUGCUUGAACCCCGGAGGCAGAGGUUGCAGUGAGCCGAGAUCACACCACUGCACUCCAGGCUGGUGACAGAGCAAGACUCCAUCUAAAAAAAAUACAAAAAAGAAAGAAAAUGCAGAGAUUUGAAGCAAAAAAACUAUAGAUUUCUUAAACAUUUUUAUGAUAUUUUAGAGACAGAAUUAUCCUACUACUUUUAACUAAGUGGAAUGAAUGUAUUUAUUUGAACAUGGCUCUUGAUAUUUUUAUUGGUUUUGCUUCUUUGAAAUUUCAGAAAACUUUAGUGUUGAAGUUUUCAAUUUGUUAAAAUUUACUUUUAACACCGUUCUUAUGACCUGUUCUUAUCACCGUUCUUACCUGACAGUGAGACUGUUCUAAUAUUUUAAAAAUAUUUUUUCAUAUUUAAAAGUUUUAUUUGGAAAUCUAAAAUUUUUACAAACUGAAGGGAAAGAAAACUAGCCACAAUUAUCAAAAGUAUUAUGAUUGAUUAACAGAAUAUAGUUGUGUAUUACCUAAACAGAAAUCAUACUGAUGUACCUGUUGAUCUAUUAGAAAAAAUACUUUCAAUUACAUUUUGUAGGACAGGCACGGUGGCUUAUGCCUGUGAUGCUAGCACUUUGGGAGGCCAAGGCAGGUGGACUGCUUGAGUCCAGGAAUUUUAGAUCAACUUGGACAACAUGGGGAAAUCCUGUCUCUACAAACAAUACAAAAAUUAGCUGGAUGUGGUGGUACACAUGUGUAGUCCUAACUAAUGGGGUGGCUGAAGCAAGAGGCUCAUUUGAGCCAAGGAGGUCAAGAUUGCAGUGGGCUAAGAUCGUGCCUCUGGACUCCAGCCUCGGUGACAGAGUGAGACCCUGUCUGAACC
Long non-coding RNA from Rhinopithecus roxellana (golden snub-nosed monkey), 1200 nucleotides. RefSeq lists it as uncharacterized. Lineage: Eukaryota; Metazoa; Chordata; Mammalia; Primates; Cercopithecidae. The record is from RefSeq and is a predicted model, not a curated record. The transcript has 2 exons.